Molecule: ribosomal RNA, 520 nt
Filed under: uncultured Glomus
Lineage: Eukaryota; Fungi; Glomeromycota; Glomeromycetes; Glomerales; Glomeraceae
Description: SSU rRNA
Rfam family: Eukaryotic small subunit ribosomal RNA
Source: RNAcentral
AGCAGCCGCGGUAAUUCCAGCUCCAAUAGCGUAUAUUAAAGUUGUUGCAGUUAAAAAGCUCGUAGUUGAAUUUCGGGGUUAGUAGGUUGGUCAUGCCUCUGGUAUGUACUGGUCUCACUGAUUCCUCCUUCCUGAUGAACCUUAAUGCCAUUUAUUUGGUGUUUUGGGAAUUUGGACUGUUACUUUGAAAAAAUUAGAGUGUUUAAAGCAAGCUAACGCUUGAAUACAUUAGCAUGGAAUAAUGAAAUAGGACGUUCGAUCCUAUUUUGUUGGUUUCUAGGAUUGACGUAAUGAUUAAUAGGGAUAGUUGGGGGCAUUAGUAUUCAAUUGUCAGAGGUGAAAUUCUUGGAUUUAUUGAAGACUAACUACUGCGAAAGCAUUUGCCAAGGAUGUUUUCAUUAAUCAAGAACGAAAGUUAGGGAUCGAAGACGAUCAGAUACCGUCGUAGUCUUAACCAUAAACUAUGCCGGCUAGGGAUCGGAUGAUGUUAAUUUUUAAUGUACUCAUUCGGCGCCUUACG